CUCCCCCUCCUCCAUCUCCCCCUCUCUGUGCUGAGGAUCCACAAUCCAUGAGUACAACACCAGUGUGUUUGUUGUCACCACUAACACAGUCCCGGGCCGCAGUACUAUUGUAGUUCCACACUGCGGGGUAGUGUCAGUCCACCAGUAGUAACCUCCACCAGUAACCCGGACCCCCCACGCACACAGUGAGACCCCCAGUGACACUCACAGUGCCCCCACCCCCACACAUACAGUGUGGCCCCCACAGCGGAAUGUGAAGUGGUCUUUCUUUCAGUCGCUUCACUAUGGCAGGCCGUGGCGGAACGAGAGUAAACAGGUCGCCGAGUCUACCUUGGACCAGGUCGAUAUCAAGGAGGCCACAUCUGGAACAUCGCAUGCAGGAGAUGAGAUUAGAGGAGGUGCAGGUGAACAUCUGUCACAUCUGCUGAUAGUCACGGCCCAAACCUAGACAAGACAAGUCAGUUCCUGCUACAUUGCUCCCUCUGGCUUCACAAUCUUCAACUCUUCAACCUUGUCUCAUAACCUGCUCUUACCCCCAGCCUCUGUUCCAACCAUUUGCUUAUCGAUAAGAAGCCUCCUUGUGGCGAUCCCCGGAAAUGAUGACACGACGCAUUCAGUGACGCAUCGGGCGACCAAUUCUGUCAACAUGUUGGCCGACGACAGAAGCCAACAGCGAGCUACACAUCGUCUGACACACAAGGGAACAAACAGGAAAACAUGUAAACAAAGUGUUUCACUGUAUCUCUGUACAUGUGACAAUAAUAAACUAUUACCAAAACAAAAUAUAUUAGUGAUCAUUUUUGUUUUGUGUACUUGUCACAAAUGCUGCAAUUUCCAUCUGACCACCCAUUUGUUCAAGAAAGUGAUGUAAAGAAUUCAGAAUUCUGCACUGCUUCACAACCAAUAUGUACAUUUAAAUCAUUCAGUAUAUCAGUCUUUAUAUGCUACACUCAGAACUCGAAAAAUAUCGUAAUUGCAUUUCUUUUCUGCAUUUAUACAGUUCGAUUUCACCUAACAUCCUUCAGCUCUGCAACCCGAUAUUCUUGCCCAUGUGCACAAUAGAAACUGAGAAAGAAAUGGCGGUGAGUCAGCAUGACCUACUUUUAUUCCUUUGUUUCCUAAUUUGAAACUAUUCUUUGCCGCAUAAAACCAUGUCUCAUGCACAAUAGACAAUGCCCUCACUAUCAAGGGAUCCCUAAUUCUGUACAACUCUUUGAAUCUGAAACCUUUUGGUGUUUCACAACUUGACAUGCAAACCAGAUGUGGCAUGAUGUAGCCUUUCCUUCAUAGAUCCUAGUAGAUAUAUUUUGGUCCCGAUCAACAGAUCCCUUUAUGGUCCGCAAACAAGGAAUGUGAAGAACUCACAGACAU
Molecule: long non-coding RNA, 1371 nt
Organism: Leucoraja erinaceus (little skate)
Lineage: Eukaryota; Metazoa; Chordata; Chondrichthyes; Rajiformes; Rajidae
Exons: 3
Source: RefSeq, a predicted model, not a curated record